CCCGUCUGUACAAACCUUUUUGGUACUUCCAUUAACUCCUUACACUGUGGCAGCAAGCCUGAUGGGCGAUUAUGCUGCGUGAUGCCUGCCUCAGCCUGUUCGUAUCAGGGUGACGUCUAUUGGCUUUUGUUGGGUGCAGGCGACGCCCCGUAUGUCGCUGCCUGACAGGAAUAUAAACAGGAGGACGGGACAGGAUGGCAGGUCCUGGGGAAGGAGGCGAUGCAGGGACUGCACGCGGCGAUGAAAUUGAUUUUUAAACUGCCAGCGCAUCUCAUGUCGUUAGCAAAUCAUAAAAGUGUGGCGGCUGCUGUUCCCGCUCCUGCUGCUGCGCUUAGUAGUUGUUGUUUUGUCAUCGCAUAAUGAGGAAAGUGCCGGGGUUCCACCAGCUACAGCUCCUGCUCCUGCCCCUGCUCUUGCUCGUGAUCCUACUGCUGCUUGGCAAGAUGGGUUCUCCUGGAGCAGCGGGCGGCACUGCAUCUGACAUUAAGUAAGAUGGAUGGCGUUGACGUUGCGUGCAGCAUUUAGCCCUGAUCCCUUUGAGUCCAUAUUGAUGCCAAAGACGCGUCGUUGCCUUGGGGCAAAAUUCAAUUUGACCCGCCGAUGACUUUGGUCAACUUCAUUUUACGCUCAACUUUUAAUGGAGCACGGCCAAUGACUUGAUGAACCACGAAAAAUUGCGGAAAAUAUUCAGACAUUUUCCAAGAUAACUUCAAGUUGGGAAAAUGUAUAUCCACAUAAUGACAGUGGGUCAAAAUAUACUGUUUUG
Molecule: non-coding RNA, 766 nt
Organism: Drosophila melanogaster (fruit fly)
Lineage: Eukaryota; Metazoa; Arthropoda; Insecta; Diptera; Drosophilidae
Source: Ensembl